CCACAUUGAGCUCGGGUUUCGUCAGCAGCGGGCUGUGAUGACUAAAAAACAAGUUCGUUGUCGACGAAACCUGCAUACUGUGUGG
This 85-nucleotide microRNA precursor is filed under the name Drosophila grimshawi. RNAcentral's name for it is "mir-981 microRNA precursor family". It matches the Rfam family "mir-981 microRNA precursor family". The record is from Rfam by way of RNAcentral. Lineage: Eukaryota; Metazoa; Arthropoda; Insecta; Diptera; Drosophilidae.